This 407-nucleotide ribosomal RNA is filed under the name uncultured bacterium. Its description in RNAcentral is "partial 16S ribosomal RNA". It matches the Rfam family "Bacterial small subunit ribosomal RNA", at positions 28 to 526 of the family's 1533-position model. The record is from RNAcentral.
GACGAACGCUGGCGGCGUGCCUAAUACAUGCAAGUAGGACGCAGUUGCGAGCGGGGGAGUAACGCGUAGGUAACUACCUAUUAGAGGGGGAUAACUCUUGGACCCGAUAGCUAAUACCGCAUACUUGUCGAUGUACCUGCGUUGUGUUGGCUAGUAGGUAGGGUAAUGGCCUACCUAGGCAACGGUACAUAGCCGACCUGAGAGGGUGAUAGGCCACACUGGGACUGAGACACGGCCCAGAGUCCUACGGGAGGCAGCAGUAGGGAAUCUUCGGCAAUGGGGGGAAGCCUGACCGAGCAACGCCGCGUGAGUGAAGAAGGUUUUCGGAUCGUAAAGCUCUGUUGUUAAGGAAGCGGUACCUAACCAGAAAGGGACGGCUAACUACGUGCCAGCAGCCGCGGUAAUAC